RNAcentral lists this ribosomal RNA (253 nucleotides) under uncultured bacterium. RNAcentral's name for it is "partial 16S ribosomal RNA". It matches the Rfam family "Bacterial small subunit ribosomal RNA", at positions 524 to 776 of the family's 1533-position model. The record is from RNAcentral.
CACGUAGGGUGCGAGCGUUGUCCGGAAUUAUUGGGCGUAAAGAGCUCGUAGGCGGUCUGUCGCGUCGGCUGUGAAAACCCGAGGCUCAACCUCGGGCCUGCAGUCGAUACGGGCAAACUGGAGUGUUGCAGGGGAGACUGGAAUUCCUGGUGUAGCGGUGAAAUGCGCAGAUAUCAGGAGGAACACCGACGGCGAAGGCAGCACUCUGGGCCGGUACUGACGCUGAGGAGCGAAAGCAUGGGGAGCGAACAGG